RNAcentral lists this transfer RNA (78 nucleotides) under Planctomycetota bacterium. Its description in RNAcentral is "Planctomycetes bacterium tRNA-Pro". It matches the Rfam family "tRNA". From Rfam's summary of the family: Transfer RNA (tRNA) molecules are approximately 80 nucleotides in length. Lineage: Bacteria; Pseudomonadati; Planctomycetota. The record is from RNAcentral.
CGGGGCGUAGCGCAGUCUGGUUAGCGCGCCAGCUUUGGGAGCUGGAUGUCGAAGGUUCGAAUCCUUUCGCCCCGACCG